Molecule: ribosomal RNA, 253 nt
Filed under: uncultured bacterium
Lineage: Bacteria
Description: partial 16S ribosomal RNA
Rfam family: Bacterial small subunit ribosomal RNA
Source: RNAcentral
UACGUAGGGUGCGAGCGUUAAUCGGAAUUACUGGGCGUAAAGCGUGCGCAUGCGGUUCGUUGUGUCGGCGGUGAAAGCCCCGGGCUUAACCUGGGAAUGGCCGUUGAAACUGGCGAACUGGAGUGUGGCAGAGGGGGGUGGAAUUCCGCGUGUAGCAGUGAAAUGCGUAGAGAUGCGGAGGAACACCGAUGGCGAAGGCAGCCCCCUGGGCUGACACUGACGCUCAGGCACGAAAGCGUGGGGAGCAAACAGG